GGAGGAGAUCAGGGUUAAAGCCUGUACUGAGAUCAGGGUUAAAGCCUGUACUGAGAUCAGGCUGGGAGGAGGAGAACAGCUCAGGGUUAAAGCCUGUACUGAGAUCAGGCUGAGAGGAGGAGAACAGCUCAGGGUUAAAGCCUGUACUGAGAUCAGGCUGGGAGGAGGAGAACAGCUCAGGGUUAAAGCCUGUACUGAGAUCAGGCUGGGAGGAGGAGAACAGCUCAGGGUUAAAGCCUGUACUGAGAUCAGGCUGAGAGGAGGAGAACAGCUCAGGGUUAAAGCCUGUACUGAGAUCAGGCUGGGAGGAGGAGAACAGGGUUAAAGCCUGUACUGAGAUCAGGCUGGGAGGAGGAGAACAGCUCAGGGUUAAAGCCUGUACUGAGAUCAGGCUGGGAGGAGGAGAACAGGGUUAAAGCCUGUACUGAGAUCAGGCUGGGAGGAGGAGAUCAGGGUUAAAGCCUGUACUGAGAUCAGGCUGGGAGGAGGAGAUCAGGGUUAAAGCCUGUUCUGAGAUCAGGCUGAGAGGAGGAGAUCAGGGUUAAAGCCUGUACUGAGAUCAGGCUGAGAGGAGGAGAACAGGGUUAAAGCCUGUACUGAGAUCAGGCUGGGAGGAGAUCAGGGUUAAAGCCUGUACUGAGAUCAGGCUGGGAGGAGGAGAUCAGGGUUAAAGCCUGUACUGAGAUCAGGCUGGGAGGAGAACAGCUCAGGGUUAAAGCCUGUACUGAGAUCAGGCUGGGAGGAGGAGAACAGGGUUAAAGCCUGUACUGAGAUCAGGCUGGGAGGAGAACAGCUCAGUGUUAAAGCCUGUACUGAGAUCAGGCUGGGAGGAGGAGA
This is a long non-coding RNA of Oncorhynchus keta (chum salmon), 837 nucleotides long. RefSeq lists it as uncharacterized. NCBI's taxonomy places the organism in Eukaryota, Metazoa, Chordata, Actinopteri, Salmoniformes, Salmonidae. The transcript has 3 exons. The record is from RefSeq and is a predicted model, not a curated record.